This 621-nucleotide unclassified non-coding RNA is filed under the name Zea mays. RNAcentral describes it as "misc RNA Zm00001eb261580". The record is from RNAcentral. Lineage: Eukaryota; Viridiplantae; Streptophyta; Magnoliopsida; Poales; Poaceae.
CUGACUGCCGCGGUGACGGCACUGGGCGCGAGCACAGAGGUGGAGUGCGUCGCUGUAGCAGCGCUGGUCACGGCGGGGUCAGGGCGCGAGCACAGAGGUGGAGUGCGUCGCUGUAGCAGCGCUGGUCACGGCGGGGUCAGGGACGAUGGACUGGUUGCUGACUGCGGUGGCCACGGCAGUCUGCAGGGGGUCCAUGGUGGUCUGCUCACGGUCGGCGACAUGCAGGGGCUCGGUCGACACACGAGCUUGGCACUGGGGCAGCGAGGACGGAAACAGAGCAGGGGACCAGGGAGAGGAGUCGAAGGGGAGUCUGGUGGUGCUCUUCACCGGCGGCGAGAGGCAGGGGUCGGCUCGACGAAGGCACAAGGGGCGCGACGCGGUGGGCUUCGCGGCUGCAUUGGGCUUUGCGGCGCCUUGGCGGCUGGCUUGGCCUGCGGCUUGGCGGCCGCCGUGGGCUUGGCUGCAGCGGGUUGCGCCUUCGCUGCGGGCUUCGCGGCUGCAGAGAGGCGCGGAGCAGAGGCGAGAAGUGGGCGGCGGAGGAGCAGGAGGCGGCAGCCGAGCCAAGGGAAGCGGCCGGCGGCGACUGGAGGGAGGAGAGGGGGCGGCGGGGUGGGCGGCUAG